CAAGAAAGUAACAGAAGUGCAAAAACACAGUAAGAACCACACAAAGACGUGCUUUAGGAGUUUAAGCUCCGGGUGCCGUUUUGGUUUUCCUAAACCACCCUGCAAUGAGACAAUGAUCACAAGACCCAGUGAGGAUGAUGAACUGGAGGUAGAAACAGCAAAGAACAAGCUCAGACCACUGAACCAGCUGCUGAAUGAACCUGAAACUGCUUCCAUGAGUUUAGAGCAGCUCUUGGCAAGAUGCAAGUUGACGCAUGCAGAAUAUGAGCGAUACCUGAAUAAAAUGAACACGAGGAGUACGAUCAUACUAAAGCGUGAUCCAAAAGACUCUUGGAUAAACGGCUAUAAUCCACAUCUGCUUGAAGCCUGGAACAGUAAUAUCGACAUAAGCUUUGUUCUAGAUGCUUUCGCCGCAGCAAAUUAUUUAAUGAAAUAUAUAUCAAAAAAAGAGGGCGGGCUAUCUGAGUACCUGAAAACUGUCAUUGAGAACUCCCAUAAGGACAGUGUAAAUGAGUGCGAUGAAAUGAGAGCCGUCAUGCAGGCAUAUUCAAAGAAGCGAGAGAUCAGUGCACAGGAGUGUGUUGCUCGUGCAUGUGGUCUUCACAUGAAGCAAUGUUCACGUGCUGUAAUAUUCAUACCAACUGAUGAUAAUCCUGUGAAAAUGAGUCGUCCCCUGUCAGUUCUGGACAACACAACACCUGAGUCUUCCAAUGUUUGGAUGACAUCUUUGAAUGACAAAUACAAAGCCAGACCUGAAACACCAGAGUAUGAGGAGAUGUGCAUGGCAGACUUUGCUGCUACUUGCAGGAUUGUCUAUGGCCAACAGACAAAAGGUAAAGAUGUUUUGCCCCUUCUCAAUGAGAUGGGAUUUGUGCAAAGGCGCAAAAACGAUAAGCCUGCUAUCAUCAGAUUUCACCGCUGCUCACAAGAAAAACAUCCAGAGCAAUAUUACGGAAGACUGCUUAAACUGUACCUUCCUCAUCGUUCAGACCACGAACUGAAAACGCCAUCUUUGCCAACCUAUCAGGCUUUCUAUGGUGCUGGCUGUGUACAGCUACCAGGUACUGACCGUCUUGAAUACGUGCAACACAUUGUCAAAAGAAACAGAGAGAAAUAUGAGAAAAACAGUGAGGAGAUCGAGAGCGCUGUUGAGGAAUAUGAGCAGAACAGAGGUGUGACUGAUGAAUGGUGUAAUCUGGCACCUGAAUCAGAUCUCGUAAGGUUGCCACUUGUUGAACAAGAAAGAGAGCGAGACAAUGAAAAUGAACAGGAAGAUGUGCCCGACUACAGUCGUCAGGCUGAUGCUUCAACAGAAGUCAGAGCCAUCAGGGAACCCCCUGCUAUUGAUCCCACAUUGUUACGUCAGAUGUUUCAGAAUCUGAAUAAGAAGCAAGCCUGCAUAUUUUAUGCAGUUAGAGACUGGUGCAUUAAAAGAGUCUGUGCUCUAAAUCCAGAGCAGUUUUUCUUUUAUAUUAAUGGUGGUGCUGGAACAGGAAAAUCACAUCUUAUCAAAUGCAUCUACUCAGAAGCAUCUAAGAUACUGAGCAAAGUGCCCAGACAUUCAGACGACGUUGAUAUAUCAAAACCCACUGUCCUGUUAACUGCUUUCACUG
Molecule: long non-coding RNA, 1613 nt
Filed under: Oreochromis niloticus (Nile tilapia)
Lineage: Eukaryota; Metazoa; Chordata; Actinopteri; Cichliformes; Cichlidae
Description: lncRNA (ENSONIG00000039792.1)
Source: RNAcentral